Molecule: ribosomal RNA, 468 nt
Filed under: uncultured bacterium
Lineage: Bacteria
Description: partial 16S ribosomal RNA
Rfam family: Bacterial small subunit ribosomal RNA
Source: RNAcentral
GACGAACGCUGGCGGCGUGCUUAACACAUGCAAGUCGAACGGAAAGGCCCUGCUUUUGUGGGGUGCUCGAGUGGCGAACGGGUGAGUAACACGUGAGUAACCUGCCCUUGACUUUGGGUUAACUUCAGGCAACUUGGGCUAAUACCGGAUAGGAUCUCCUGCUUCAUGGUGGGGGUUGGAAAGUUUCGGCGGUUGGGGAUGGACUCGCGGCUUAUCAGCUUGUUGGUGGGGUAGUGGCUUACCAAGGCUUUGACGGGUAGCCGGCCUGAGAGGGUGACCGGCCAAAUUGGGACUGAGAUGAGGCACAGACUACUACGGGAGGCAGCAGUGGAGAAGAUUGCACAAUGGGCGGAAGCAUGAUGCAGCAACGCCGCGUGCGGGAAGAGGGCAUUCGGGUAGUAAACCGAUAUCGCCUGUGACGAAGCGUGAGUGACGGUAAUGGGUAAAGAAGCACCGGCUAACUACGUG